CCACAAGGCAUUCCCUAGUAGCGGCGAGCGAAGCGGGAAGAGCUCAAAUUUAUAAUCUGGCACCUUCGGUGUCCGAGUUGUAAUCUCUAGAAGUGUUUUCCGCGUUGGACCGCACACAAGUCUGUUGGAAUACAGCGGCACAGUGGUGAUACCCCCGUACACGGUGCGGACGCCCAGCGCUUUGUGAUACACUUUCAAUGAGUCGAGUUGUUUGGGAAUGCAGCUCAAAUUGGGUGGUAAAUUCCAUCUAAAGCUAAAUAUUGGCGAGAGACCGAUAGCGAACAAGUACCGUGAGGGAAAGAUGAAAAGCACUUUGGAAAGAGAGUUAACAGUACGUGAAAUUGUUGGAAGGGAAACGCUUGAAGUCAGACUUGCUUGCCGGAGCUUGCUUCGGUUUGCAGGCCAGCAUCAGUUUUCCGGGGUGGAUAAUGGUGGUUUGAAGGUAGCAGCCUCGGCUGUGUUAUAGCUUUCCACUGGAUACAUCCUGGGGGACUGAGGAACGCAGCGUGCUUUUUGCGAAGGUUUCGACCUUUUCACGCUUAGGAUGCUGGUGUAAUGACUUUAAACGACCCGUCUUGAAACAACGGACCAAUA
Molecule: ribosomal RNA, 594 nt
Filed under: Rhodotorula kratochvilovae
Lineage: Eukaryota; Fungi; Basidiomycota; Microbotryomycetes; Sporidiobolales; Sporidiobolaceae
Description: eukaryotic LSU rRNA
Rfam family: Eukaryotic large subunit ribosomal RNA
Source: RNAcentral